RNAcentral lists this ribosomal RNA (1244 nucleotides) under metagenome. RNAcentral describes it as "bacterial LSU rRNA". It matches the Rfam family "Bacterial large subunit ribosomal RNA", at positions 1564 to 2818 of the family's 2925-position model. The record is from RNAcentral.
UGAAUACGAGACGCUAAGGCGUCGAAGUAGUGUAUGUCAUACUUCCAAGAAAAGCUUGCACUGUCAUAGAUAAAAAACGCCUGUACCAUAACCGACACAGGUGGGUAGGUAGAGUAUACUAAGGGGCGCGAGAUAACUCUCUCUAAGGAACUCGGCAAAAUAACUCCGUAACUUCGGGAGAAGGAGUGCCUUAUUCUUAAGGUUGCAAUAACAAGAUCCAAGCAACUGUUUAUCAAAAACACAGGUCUCCGCUAAGUCGUAAGACGAUGUAUGGGGGCUGACGCCUGCCCAGUGCCAGAAGGUUAAAGAAGCUGGUUAGCAUUUGCGAAGCUAGUAACUGAAGCCCUGGUGAACGGCGGCCGUAACGAUAACGGUCCUAAGGUAGCGAAAUUCCUUGUCGGGUAAGUUCCGACCCGCACGAAAGGCGUAAUGAUUUGGAUACUGUCUCGGAGAGGGGCUCGGUGAAAUAGACUUGUCUGUGAAGAUGCGGACUACCUGCACCAGGACAGAAAGACCCUAUGAAGCUUUACUGUAACUUGAAAUUGAAAUUGGACUUUAUUCGCGCAGUAUAGGUGGGAGGCGUUGAUUAUAAUCUUGCGGGAUUAUUGGAGCCAUUAGUGAGAUACCACUCUUGUAAUGUUAGAUUUCUAACUUUGAAUCAUUAUCUGGUCAAAGAACAGUUUCAGGCGGGCAGUUUGACUGGGGCGGUCGCCUCCUAAACGGUAACGGAGGCGUACAAAGGUUUCCUCUGAACGGUUAGAAAUCGUAUCUAGAGUGUAAAGGCAUAAGGAAGCUUGACUGUGAGACCUACAAGUCGAGCAGGGACGAAAGUCGGUCUUAGUGAUCUGACGGUACUGAGUGGAAAGGCCGUCACUCAACGGAUAAAAGUUACUCUAGGAUAACAGGCUGAUCUCCCCCAAGAGUUCACAUCGACGGGGAGGUUUGGCACCUCGAUGUCGGCUCAUCGCAUCCUGGGGCGGUAGUACGUCCCAAGGGUUGGGCUGUUCGCCCAUGAAAGCGGUACGCGAGCUGGGUUCAGAACGUCGUGAGACAGUUCGGUCCAUAUCCGGUGUAGGCGUUAGAAUAUUGAGAGGAGCCUUCUUUAGUACGAGAGGACCGAGAAGGACAUACCUCUGGUGUACCAGUUAUCGUGCCAACGGUAAACGCUGGGUAGCUAUGUAUGGAGUGGAUAACCGCUGAAAGCAUCUAAGUGGGAAGCCCACCUCAAGAUAAGUAUUCUCAUC